UAGGGCAGAGGUGGAAGUGCAGUAAUGCAUGGAGCUGACUGUUACUAAUAGGUCGAGGGCUUAACCAAG
RNAcentral lists this ribosomal RNA (69 nucleotides) under Clostridiaceae bacterium AF42-6. RNAcentral's name for it is "partial 23S ribosomal RNA". The record is from RNAcentral. Lineage: Bacteria; Bacillati; Bacillota; Clostridia; Eubacteriales; Clostridiaceae.